Non-coding RNA from Macrostomum lignano, 70 nucleotides. The record is from Rfam. Lineage: Eukaryota; Metazoa; Platyhelminthes; Macrostomidae.
GGGGUUGUAGCCUAGUGGUUAGAGCGUCCGACUCACGACUUGAAGAUUGGGGGUUCGAUUCCCGAUCCCA